Molecule: ribosomal RNA, 435 nt
Filed under: uncultured bacterium
Lineage: Bacteria
Description: partial 16S ribosomal RNA
Rfam family: Bacterial small subunit ribosomal RNA
Source: RNAcentral
AACGAACGCUGGCGGCAGGCCUAACACAUGCAAGUCGAGCGGACAUCUUCGGAUGUUAGCGGCGGACGGGUGAGUAACGCGUGGGAACGUGCCCUUUGCUUCGGAAUAGCCUCGGGAAACUGGGAGUAAUACCGGAUGUACCCUUUGGGGGAAAGAUUUAUCGGCAAAGGAUCGGCCCGCGUUGGAUUAGGUAGUUGGUGGGGUAAUGGCCUACCAAGCCGACGAUCCAUAGCUGGUUUGAGAGGAUGAUCAGCCACACUGGGACUGAGGCACGGCCCAGACUCCUACGGGAGGCAGCAGUGGGGAAUCUUAGACAAUGGGGGAAACCCUGAUCUAGCCAUGCCGCGUGAGCGAUGAAGGCCUUAGGGUUGUAAAGCUCUUUCACCGGGGAAGAUAAUGACGGUACCCGGAGAAGAAGCCCCGGCUAACUCCGUG